Molecule: long non-coding RNA, 648 nt
Organism: Callithrix jacchus (white-tufted-ear marmoset)
Lineage: Eukaryota; Metazoa; Chordata; Mammalia; Primates; Cebidae
Source: RefSeq, a predicted model, not a curated record
GGCGCUGGCCUGGAAUCCUACAAACAAGGAGGAGUGGGGGAGCUGGCCACUUCAGCCUGAGGCCCCCCACCUCCUGGUCCUGCCACGCAUCUGUGUGGCCGGGGACUGCUAAGAGGGUCCCCACUGCCUGCUUCCUCAUCACUGUGUGCACCCGUAUCACUGCCACAACCCAGUCCUAAUCAUGGCCUGAAACACUGCAGCCUGCCACAGUUGGCACUGUGCCAGGCACGGGCUUUGCCAACUCAUUCAACCCUCCCAAUGAGUGCUGUUACUCCUGCUUUGCAGCAGAGGGAACUGACCUUCAGAAGUGCCCAGGCUGGAGUGUAGUGCUGAGAUCUUGGCUUACUGCAACCUCUGCCUCCCAAGUUCAAGCGAUUCUCCUGCCUUAGCCUCCCGAGUAGCUAGGAUUACAGACACCCACCACCAUGCCCAGAACCAGGAUGAAGAUGUUUGUGGCUGAGGCAGCUACUGGGUACCUCUCCAGAUGCAGAGGGUGUUGGCCGGAGUUCACACAGCCAUAGUGGGCCCAGAAUGGAAGCCAUGUCUGGAAGAAGAGAAAGAAGAAUAUGGAGGCUUCAUAUUAUAGCAGCUGAGAAUAGGCUACCCAUGGACUUCUUUAGUGUGAAAUAAUAAAAACUUGUAUGUUUA